Molecule: long non-coding RNA, 855 nt
Filed under: Gallus gallus (chicken)
Lineage: Eukaryota; Metazoa; Chordata; Aves; Galliformes; Phasianidae
Description: long non-coding RNA NONGGAT001027
Source: RNAcentral
CCUGAAUGUUGGCAUUUUCCAAACAGCUAUCUGAGGGACACUGAGAUAUUUUGCCAUCCAUAUUCCAAACUAGCUUUAGGACUGACUUCAUAUCAGACUCAGCUCGUGAAGCAUUUGCACCCAGAAGCACUGCUGUGUCAACCAUGAACUGCAAAAAGGUAUCUCGGUACUGGGAAAAAAAAAAAAAAGAAAGAAAGAAAUUAUCACUGGAUUUGCAUUUCAACACAGCUGUAGCAGUAGGACAUAAAUAUCCAGCUGACAGCAAGGAGUUGAAUACACUGUACUUUCAUACUCUUGCAACCGGAGUUAUACUUCCUUUACCUCAAGCGUCCACUUCCAUUGAAGAGAAAAGGGGAAAUAAUGCCAUAAACUGCCAUAAAAUGCCAUACUGUGGAUGACAGACAGAGCUAUCUGCUGUGGUUCACAGAGUAUAUAAAUCUCGGGAAGUGCAAAUGAUAUUUCUGGAUUUGGCUGAGCACACAGAGCUCUUACAAUAGGAUUAGACAAUGUGAAUGUUUUUGCAACCUCACACAGUAAUGAGCACAGAACUGAAGUACUGAUAGACAAAUGCAAGCUUAGUGGAUGAGAAGAUAGGGAGGUAAAGGGACGUCCCUCUUCUGCUUCUGCUACAGCACACAAGUACCUACUAAUGUGCUGUGCUACCCAGCUAUCCUAAAAAAGCAUGUUUAGCCUAGUGCGUAUACACAAAUGUCAACAGAAAACACUGUAUGUAUCAAUCAUUAUAUUGUACUGAUUUAUGUGCUAUCUCUUCCCCAGCAUCAUCUUUUAGAAGUUUGAGAGGGAUCAAACUGCUCCUAUCAGCUCCUGCUGGCCUGGACUCUCCCAAGCAAAAAC